CGCUGGCGGCGUGCCUAAUACAUGCAAGUAGAACGCUGAAGAGAGGAGCUUGCUCUUCUUGGAUGAGUUGCGAACGGGUGAGUAACGCGUAGGUAACCUGCCUUGUAGCGGGGGAUAACUAUUGGAAACGAUAGCUAAUACCGCAUAACAAUGGAUGACACAUGUCAUUUAUUUGAAAGGGGCAAUUGCUCCACUACAAGAUGGACCUGCGUUGUAUUAGCUAGUAGGUGAGGUAAUGGCUCACCUAGGCGACGAUACAUAGCCGACCUGAGAGGGUGAUCGGCCACACUGGGACUGAGACACGGCCCAGACUCCUACGGGAGGCAGCAGUAGGGAAUCUUCGGCAAUGGGGGCAACCCUGACCGAGCAACGCCGCGUGAGUGAAGAAGGUUUUCGGAUCGUAAAGCUCUGUUGUAAGUCAAGAACGGGUGUGAGAGUGGAAAGUUCACACUGUGACGGUAGCUUACCAGAAAGGGACGGCUAACUACGUGCCAGCAGCCGCGGUAAUACGUAGGUCCCGAGCGUUGUCCGGAUUUAUUGGGCGUAAAGCGAGCGCAGGCGGUUUGAUAAGUCUGAAGUUAAAGGCUGUGGCUCAACCAUAGUUCGCUUUGGAAACUGUCAAACUUGAGUGCAGAAGGGGAGAGUGGAAUUCCAUGUGUAGCGGUGAAAUGCGUAGAUAUAUGGAGGAACACCGGUGGCGAAAGCGGCUCUCUGGUCUGCAACUGACGCUGAGGCUCGAAAGCGUGGGGAGCGAACAGGAUUAGAUACCCUGGUAGUCCACGCCGUAAACGAUGAGUGCUAGGUGUUGGAUCCUUUCCGGGAUUCAGUGCCGCAGCUAACGCAUUAAGCACUCCGCCUGGGGAGUACGACCGCAAGGUUGAAACUCAAAGGAAUUGACGGGGGCCCGCACAAGCGGUGGAGCAUGUGGUUUAAUUCGAAGCAACGCGAAGAACCUUACCAGGUCUUGACAUCCCGAUGCUAUUUCUAGAGAUAGAAAGUUACUUCGGUACAUCGGUGACAGGUGGUGCAUGGUUGUCGUCAGCUCGUGUCGUGAGAUGUUGGGUUAAGUCCCGCAACGAGCGCAACCCCUAUUGUUAGUUGCCAUCAUUCAGUUGGGCACUCUAGCGAGACUGCCGGUAAUAAACCGGAGGAAGGUGGGGAUGACGUCAAAUCAUCAUGCCCCUUAUGACCUGGGCUACACACGUGCUACAAUGGUUGGUACAACGAGUUGCGAGUCGGUGACGGCGAGCUAAUCUCUUAAAGCCAAUCUCAGUUCGGAUUGUAGGCUGCAACUCGCCUACAUGAAGUCGGAAUCGCUAGUAAUCGCGGAUCAGCACGCCGCGGUGAAUACGUUCCCGGGCCUUGUACACACCGCCCGUCACACCACGAGAGUUUGUAACACCCGAAGUCGGUGAGGUAACCUUUUGGAGCCAGCCGCCUAAGGUGGGACAGAUGAUUGGGGUGAAGU
Molecule: ribosomal RNA, 1468 nt
Filed under: Streptococcus thermophilus
Lineage: Bacteria; Bacillati; Bacillota; Bacilli; Lactobacillales; Streptococcaceae
Description: bacterial SSU rRNA
Rfam family: Bacterial small subunit ribosomal RNA
Source: RNAcentral